UCGCUUAACUUCGGAGUUCCCAUGGAACCCGAAGCCAGUGAGCUCCCAAAAGGCCUCGUGCUAGGUAGGGAUAGGAAUAUACAUUUAAGGAUCACUCCCCUGGGCGAUGUGGGAUGUUACACCUUCUGACUUGGUUCAGUAAAGGAUUGUACAGCAAAUGACCAGACAAUAAAGCGACAGACAGCUUGGAAGAAGUUCACAGCGAGUUAGGGCCUAGAGCAAUGGAGUUGGGACGUCUCAAAUGGGUUCUCAGCGAGUUGGCAAGGUUUGUGCAUUAUCCACUUUGGAGGCCGAGGCUGAGCUUAACAUAGUCACAAGUACUAUUCAUCUUGAUUCGCUCCCUGCUAGGCCAUUGUUUGAUCUUGGAGCUGAGAAUUCUUUUACAUCAAGUACUUUUGUUAAGUCUUUGGGUAAACCUAUUGAGACGAUGGAUGUGACAUACUCCAUUUCCUCUCAUUUUUCGAGGCCUCAUAUUGUUGACCAAGUAGUUUGAUCUUGUGAGGCUUAGGUGGAUCAGGGUGAGAUGUCAGCAGAUUUGAUGAUUAUUCUGAUGCGAGAUCUAGAUGUCAUUAUAGGCAUGGAUUACCUAUCGAUAUAUCGCGCGAAUUUCAAUUGUUUUUAGAAAGUGAUAAUUGUUCGACCACUUGACAGGCCUCCGUUUUAGUUUGCUAAAGUUCAUAAACCUGUUCCACCACCAGUAAUGGAAUCAGUUGCCAAGGCUAGACGACUCAUGAGAUACGGAUGUCAGGAUUAUUUGGCUCAUGUCAUACCCGUUGAGCAAGGAAAUAGUGAAAUUAAUGCCAUUCCAGUAGUUAGAGAAUUCCCUAACGUAUUUCUUGCAGAGUUACAUGGCUUGCAUCCAGUAAGGGAGAUUGAGUUCACUAUUGACUUUAUGCUAGAGACAACACCUAUUUCUUGGCUCAUGUCAUACCCGUUGAGCAAGGAAAUAGUGAAAUUAAUGCCAUUCCAGUAGUUGGAGAAUUCCCUAACGUAUUUCUUGCAGAGUUACAUGGCUUGCAUCCAGUAAGGGAGAUUGAGUUCACUAUUGACUUUAUGCUAGAGACAACACCUAUUUCUAAGGCUCCAUAUCGUACGGCGCCUUUGAAACUCAGAGAGCUCAAAGCGCAGUUACAGAAGUUAAUGGAUAAAGGUUUAAUUCGACCUAAUGUUUCACCUUAGGGUGCUGCCAUUCUCUUUGUGAAGAAAAAAGACAGAUCAUGUGUUUGCGCAUCAAUUAUCGUGAGCUUAAUAUGGAUAUAGAGUGAGUGCGAAAUAAGUACCCGCAAUCGAGGAUUGAUGACUUGUUUGACCAACUUCAAGGUGCUCAAUAUUUUAGUAAGCUCGAUUUGCGGAUUGGUUAUCAUCACUUGAGGAUCCAAGAUGAUGACAUACAAAAGAUAGCUUUUCUGACUUGCUAUGGUGCGUUAACGCAAAGUCUAGGCACUAAUUAUACAUGUGACAAGCCUGAGGAGAUUUACAAGAAGCCGAUAGGGGUAGCAGUGCAAAGAUCAAAGAUUUAGAGUGAUUAGGUUGCCCUUUUAUCUUUCUUUGUAUUAUUUCUUUUGGAACUUAUAUUUUGACCGCCUAUGGUCAUGUCUUGGCCCUAAUGAGGGUUGUGUAUUUUGAAUGUACAGAUUUGUAUAUAUUUUGUGGGGGAGAGUUCACUAUCGUGUUUAUUUCGUGGUAUUAGUUCUAGUAUUUCAUUUGGUAUCUUGUACGUAUGUUAAGAUGUUCGCUACGUCUCUAUGUCACGUGUCGAUCCUAGACGUAUGUCGGGAUCGAGGCGUGACAAUUAUAUGUUCAUAUUCUUUAGGAAGUACAUACUGCAGAGUUGUAAUUAGUUUCAGGUCAGGGAUUGUGAUGGGUGGAUCGAAAUUGGAAUUAUUAUAUGCUAUUUGGUUGCUUGCUUCAAAUAUGAUAAGAGCAAUGACACAAAAAAUGAAAACUCAGUCAUUGGUUUACUUUUUCCUCCUUCUCGUUUACCAGUUGAGUUGGAAGGGUAAUUGCUACUCAUUUUCUACAUUUUUAAGAUCUUAUAAAUCUUUUUCAACAUUUAUGCAUAUUUUUCUCCCAGUUUACAAUUCAGCAAAAUGAAAGUUAUAUUACCAUUUACAAUAGGAUGAAAAUAAUCACAUUAGUUAACCUUUAUUCAUACUUGGAUGCAGAUAAUUGUGAUAGAAAAGUCUAUUGUGGUUAGCUUAAUAGAAAAUGUGAUAUGAACAAUUUGAAAAGUCCACUUUCUUUCAUAUGUACGCUUUAACAUGUGUCAGUUUUAAUUAUUCAUGAGCAAAAGAAAUUUUAUUUUUCUUCUCCCGGUACACUUAAAUUCGUACAUCAACAUAUAUUUGUUUUUAACCUAUAUUAAAUAGGGAAUUGCUAUUAGCACUCCAAAAAUCUCAUUUUACACUCCAAACUUUCUAUAUUUAGAAAGAAAAAUACACUUUUGAAGAAUGUAGAACGAGAUUUUUAGAGUGUCAAUAACACUUCCCUAUUAAAUAUUAAAUGUACUUGAGUAUUCAAUUGUUUUUAGCAAUUAAGAGUCUCUUUUCAAUAAUUACACUUUUAUUCCGUCAUCUUCACUAAAAUGUCCUAGAUUUACAUUAACAACUUCUAUUUUUUAAUUUGUAACAUAGAAGCAUGCAUAUGAGGGCAAAACAAACUGUGUGUUGACCAAGGAGGUUUGAAAAAGCUGAUUAGUAUUUGUGUAAAAAUAAUAGUAAAUAUGAUUGUACAUAUAUGUGCAGAUAGAGUUGCUGUAAAUAUGUGUAAAUAGAGUUGUUGUAAUAAGUUCGAAAAGCUAAUUGAACUGCAUUCUAUAUCUGUUUCUGAUGCAAAGACAUUAUAUUUUGUGAUUGCACCGUCUAUUAAAAUGUUCUAUUUUGUUCCAUUCGUUACAUUACAUGUUACUUUGAUGUGAUGUUGUUCUCUAAAUUACAAGAAAAAUUCCACUCUUCUUUAUGAUUUGAUUUAAUUACAUGACAAAUUUUUCGACCUGUAGCAACGGACGGGCAUGAAGUCUUGUUAAAACCAAAAUCUCCCCUCAAUUGCAUUGCAGCAAAGCUACAGUGCCCCACCCCUCCCCAAGUUUAAAAUAGAGUAAUGCUUUACCAAAUCUAAUCAAAUUCUCACAAGUUUAAAUAAAA
Molecule: long non-coding RNA, 3143 nt
Organism: Pyrus x bretschneideri (Chinese white pear)
Lineage: Eukaryota; Viridiplantae; Streptophyta; Magnoliopsida; Rosales; Rosaceae
Exons: 2
Source: RefSeq, a predicted model, not a curated record